GUCACGGCUUAACUACGUGCCAAGCAGCCGCGGUAAUACGUAGGUGGCAAGCGUUGUCCGGAUUUAUUGGGCGUAAAGCGAGCGCAGGCGGAAGAAUAAGUCUGAUGUGAAAGCCCUCGGCUUAACCGAGGAACUGCAUCGGAAACUGUUUUUCUUGAGUGCAGAAGAGGAGAGUGGAACUCCAUGUGUAGCGGUGGAAUGCGUAGAUAUAUGGAAGAACACCAGUGGCGAAGGCGGCUCUCUGGUCUGCAACUGACGCUGAGGCUCGAAAGCAUGGGUAGCGAACAGGAUUAGAUACCCUGGUAGUCCAUGCCGUAAACGAUGAGUGCUAAGUGUUGGGAGGUUUCCGCCUCUCAGUGCUGCAGCUAACGCAUUAAGCACUCCGCCUGGGGAGUACGACCGCAAGGUUGAAACUCAAAGGAAUUGACGGGGGCCCGCACAAGCGGUGGAGCAUGUGGUUUAAUUCGAAGCAACGCGAAGAACCUUACCAGGUCUUGACAUCUAGUGCCAUUUGUAGAGAUACAAAGUUCCCUUCGGGGACGCUAAGACAGGUGGUGC
Molecule: ribosomal RNA, 558 nt
Filed under: Lactobacillus crispatus
Lineage: Bacteria; Bacillati; Bacillota; Bacilli; Lactobacillales; Lactobacillaceae
Description: bacterial SSU rRNA
Rfam family: Bacterial small subunit ribosomal RNA
Source: RNAcentral